GACGAACGCUGGCGGCGUGCCUGACACAUGCAAGUCGGACGGUUCUUGCACCUUCAAGCUUGCUUGCUGGUGCAAGGAUAGUGGCGGACGGGUGAGUAACGCGUGAACAUCUACCCAUUGGAGGGGGACAACCCGUCGAAAGGCGGGCUAAUACCGCGUAAGCCGCGAGGUGAGAGGCUGCCUAUUGGUGGCCGCCGAUGGAUGGGUUCGCGUCCUAUCAGCUGGUUGGUGGGGUAACGGCCUACCAAGGCGAAGACGGGUAGCCGGUCUGAGAGGAUGGCCGGCCACACUGGAACUGAGACACGGUCCAGACUCCUACGGGAGGCAGCAGUGGGGAAUAUUGGGCAAUGGGGGAGACCCUGACCCAGCGACGCCGCGUGAGGGAUGAAGGUUUUCGGAUCGUAAACCUCUGUUGUACGGGAAGAAGGAUGUGACGGUACCGUACGAGAAAGCCCCGGCAAACUACGUG
RNAcentral lists this ribosomal RNA (469 nucleotides) under uncultured bacterium. Its description in RNAcentral is "bacterial SSU rRNA". It matches the Rfam family "Bacterial small subunit ribosomal RNA", at positions 28 to 507 of the family's 1533-position model. The record is from RNAcentral.